Long non-coding RNA from Sycon ciliatum, 977 nucleotides. RefSeq lists it as uncharacterized. The transcript has 2 exons. Lineage: Eukaryota; Metazoa; Porifera; Calcarea; Leucosolenida; Sycettidae. The record is from RefSeq and is a predicted model, not a curated record.
GUAGUACAGUGUGAACCAGACUUCUCCAACGGUGGGCGCAAAAUAUUCAAGGUAUAUAGAGAGAAAAUAUUUCCAGGGCGCCAACAGCAGUCCGCUUCCUUGUCGACGCGUUCGCCACGGAGUUGAACGAACAGGAGGCCAACAACGAGCAGGGCAGUUUUCAGCAGUUUGCAGUGGAACGAUUCACAGUGGAGCAUGCAGUUUGCAGUGGAGCGGUCACUGGUUGCAGUAUAGCGGCGAGUGUUUGCAACGAAGAUUCCCGUGAACAGUUGACAAACGGUGCAGCAAGCAGGAAGCCUGAAGAAACGUCGUUACAGAGAACGUCCACCAGCAGCCAAUGGAGCAAAUGGCGGCACCCACGCCAACACUGCCCAGACUACCGACUGAAGUAUGGGCAUUGAUAUUCGGUAAAUUGCCCGAUGGAUGGUAUUACGUUCAUCAUCUAGCAACCGUGUGUAGGCAAUUCGCAAUGGUCGCCGAUGGACAUAAAGUGCCUACUGAUGACGUCAUGUGUCAUACACAGUCUAGUGUAUGUGUGAGUAUGGUGUGAUGCGUGAUGUACAUGUAUAUUGCAUGUGGGGCUUGCAAGAAUUCGCGGCAUUGUUGGAUGGCGAGGAUUAGAAUCUGCUUCCGUCACUGUGUGACUGAUUGCCAAGUGAGUGUUGCGCAUGCGUUGGAUACGUGCAGCAUGCGUGGUGUACGUCGAGUCUGGGAGUGAGGCUCUGAGAGUGAGAGUCUGAGAGUGAUUCGUCCACAGUGUCGUUGUCUUGGUUUUCGUCAGGUGUGUUGUACGUACUCGUGUCUCAUUGGUUGUUCCGAUUCGUCCGUGCCUUAGAUCUGGCUAUUAUUGUUCAUUGUUUGUUAGUUCGUGGCCUUUCCUCUCUUUGCUCCCUCCACUAUCAUGUGCUGCAUCUCUUCAUUUCACCAGUCUUGCAACUUCCACUGAAAGAAACCUGAAAAGCCAAAUGAGCGAUAAA